RNAcentral lists this ribosomal RNA (961 nucleotides) under Ctenophora environmental sample. RNAcentral's name for it is "partial Bacterial small subunit ribosomal RNA". It matches the Rfam family "Bacterial small subunit ribosomal RNA", at positions 1 to 954 of the family's 1533-position model. Lineage: Eukaryota; Metazoa; Ctenophora. The record is from RNAcentral.
CUGAAGAGUUUGAUCAUGGCUCAGAUUGAACGCUGGCGGCAGGCCUAAGACAUGCAAGUCGAACGGUAACGACACUAGCUUGCUAGUGGUCGACGAGUGGCGGACGGGUGAGUAACGCGUAGGAAUCUACCUAGUAGUGGGGGAUAGCCAAGGGAAACUUUGGGUAAUACCGCAUACGAUCUAAGGAUGAAAGGGGGCCUCUCUUUGAAGCUCUCGCUAUUAGAUGAGCCUGCGUAAGAUUAGCUUGUUGGUGGGGUAAUGGCCCACCAAGGCGACGAUCUUUAGCUGGUCUGAGAGGAUGAUCAGCCACACCGGGACUGAGACACGGCCCGGACUCCUACGGGAGGCAGCAGUCGGGAAUAUUGCGCAAUGGGGGAAACCCUGACGCAGCCAUGCCGCGUGUGUGAAGAAGGCCCUAGGGUUGUAAAGCACUUUUAGUAGUGAGGAAGGCUCAGUAGUUAAUACCUACUGGGAUUGACGUUAGCUACAGAAAAAGCACCGGCUAAUUUCGUGCCAGCAGCCGCGGUAAUACGAAAGGUGCAAGCGUUAAUCGGAAUUACUGGGCGUAAAGCGCGCGUAGGCGGACUGGAAAGUUGGGGGUGAAAUCCCAGGGCUCAACCCUGGAACUGCCUCCAAAACUAUCAGUCUAGAGUUCGAGAGAGGUGAGUGGAAUUCCGAGUGUAGAGGUGAAAUUCGUAGAUAUUCGGAGGAACACCAGUGGCGAAGGCGGCUCACUGGCUCGAUACUGACGCUGAGGUGCGAAAGUGUGGGGAGCAAACAGGAUUAGAUACCCUGGUAGUCCAUGCCGUAAACGGUGGGCGCUAGGUGUGAGUCCCUUCCACGGGAUUUGUGCCGUAGCUAACGCAUUAAGCGCCCCGCCUGGGGAGUACGGCCGCAAGGUUAAAACUCAAAGAAAUUGACGGGGGCCCGCACAAGCGGUGGAGCAUGUGGUUUAAUUCGA